Molecule: ribosomal RNA, 433 nt
Filed under: uncultured bacterium
Lineage: Bacteria
Description: partial 16S ribosomal RNA
Rfam family: Bacterial small subunit ribosomal RNA
Source: RNAcentral
AACGAACGCUGGCGGCAUGCCUAACACAUGCAAGUCGAACGAGACCUUCGGGUCUAGUGGCGCACGGGUGCGUAACGCGUGGGAACCUGCCCUUAGGUUCGGAAUAACUCCCCGAAAGGGGUGCUAAUACCGGAUAAUGUCUUCGGACCAAAGAUUUAUCGCCUUUGGAUGGGCCCGCGUUGGAUUAGCUAGUUGGUAGGGUAAAAGCCUACCAAGGCGGCGAUCCAUAGCUGGUCUGAGAGGAUGAUCAGCCACACUGGGACUGAGACACGGCCCAGACUCCUACGGGAGGCAGCAGUGGGGAAUAUUGGACAAUGGGCGAAAGCCUGAUCCAGCAAUGCCGUGUGAGUGAUGAAGGCCUUAGGGUUGUAAAGCUCUUUUACCCGGGAUGAUAAUGACAGUACCGGGAGAAUAAGCUCCGGCUAACUCCGUG